ACCUGGGUCCUGCGCAAUGGGAACCCGUGAACCAUGUCAGGUCCGGAAGGAAGCAGCAUUAAGCGGACUCUCUCAUGUGCCGCAGGGUUGCCUGGGUCGA
Molecule: signal recognition particle RNA, 100 nt
Filed under: Bacillus sp. THAF10
Lineage: Bacteria; Bacillati; Bacillota; Bacilli; Caryophanales; Bacillaceae
Description: Bacterial small signal recognition particle RNA
Rfam family: Bacterial small signal recognition particle RNA
About the family: The signal recognition particle (SRP) is a universally conserved ribonucleoprotein involved in the co-translational targeting of proteins to membranes. Archaeal SRP consists of a 7S RNA and homologues of the eukaryotic SRP19 and SRP54 proteins.
Source: RNAcentral